UUUGGAGAAUGGAAUUUGCUGAAAAUAUUUCUUUAUAGUGUUUUCAGUUUCAUCAUAUGCUUGGUGAUUUUAUUUGCAAAAUUAUUUCAACAUUCGAGAAGUCUCCGGUUCAAAGCUCACACAGCAUUUUUGGUAUUGACAAUCACCUCUGUUUAUUCCUUUUUCUUCGAUAAAGUGAUGAAUGGGAAACCAGAUGCAUAUAGUUUAAUUUCAUGUGCUGCUUUUUCUAUCAUGUCAUUGAGUUUGUCGAGGCAAACUCAAUGCGGAUUUGAAAUUGAUCUUCUCUAUUUCUUCCUCGGAUGUCUAAUUGUGCAACUCAUGAAGAUUAAAUUGCAGUUAUUCAUUCUUGGAGCAGGUUUCAGCUACUCUCUUAUUAUUCUCCGUUCUUUUUUCUCUUCUAUUGAUGCUAGAGGACAUAAUCAAUACUCUCAAUUCCAAGAUGGAAACUCGGUGAUUCUUCAUAUUGAUUCACUACAACUAGCUAAUACUAUUACUGAUAUUGCUUGUGCUAGAAGUAGAAAUAACAUCGAUUCACCACCAUUGGUGAUCACUACUGAUAUUAGUAGUGUGAUGGAACAACUCUGGACUUUUGUGAAGGCGCUUCAACAAGAAAAUUUAAAUCUCAUUCAGAUGGUUUUGGAUCAUGUAAAAAACUAUUGUGAACAACACUCUCCAUUGGUGGCGACCGAUCCUAACUUCAUGAUGGAUGCGCUGAAGCCAGAAACAAUCAAAGGCCUGGAGGAAACAGCGAAGGUUAUGGUGAGCGCUGGGUUUGAGAAGGAUUUUUCUGAUGUGUACAACAGUUGCCGGAGGGAAUGCUUGGACAAAUGCCUAAUGCAUAGAUUAUUCAUGUUAAAGAAACUCAGCAGCGAGGACAUUCACGAUAUGCCAUGGAUGGAUCUCGAAGACGAGAUUAAAAUAUGGAUUAGAGCUUUCAAUGUCACCCUUAAGAUACUUUUCCCAGGUGAGCGACAACUCUGUGAUCGUGUCUUCUCCGGGUUCGCAUCUGCAGCUGAUUUCUCCUUCAUUGAGAUUUGCAGGGAAUCCAUCGUUCAACUUCUAAAUUUUGCAGAUUCUAUUGCAGCCGGAAGUCAUUCUCCAGAAUGUUUGUUUAACAUCAUCGAGGUGUUUGAAACAUUGCGUGACCUAAUUCCAGAAUUUGAGUCCUUAUUUUGUGAUCAGUACAGUGUGUCUCUAAAGAAUGAAGCAAUUACUAUAUGGAAGAAACUUGGGAAAGCAAUUAGAAGUAUUUUCAUGGAGUUGGAGUAUUUGCUUGACCAAAACUUGACGACGGGGACAUAUCUCAGCAGUGUUCUUCACCCGAUUACUCAACAUGUGGUGAACUAUCUCCGUGUAGUUUCCCAAUCACGGAAAACACUAGAGCAAGUUUUUGACGAUUCCUCACUUUCUGGGAAGAUUAUUAAUAUUAUGGAUAUAUUGGAGAGUAAUUUAGAAGCAAAGGCAAAAUGCUACGAGGAUCCUUCUUUAGGCUAUAUUUUCUUGAUGAAUAACAACACUUAUAUAAUUCAGAUGACCAAAGAUAAUGAACUAGGAAUCCUUUUAGGGGAUGAAUGGUUCCAAAAACACACUCUGAAAAUUUGGCACUACCAUGAACAAUAUCAGAUAACUUUGGGCACUAUGCCCCCCACUUUAGUGCAAGAUUUUUUCCCAUUAUUGUACAUCAAACAACAGAUAAAAGGUGUACGAAGGAUCGAAGGAUCAAAGGCGUACGAAGGAAAUGUGCAGGAAAUAGAAGCAUUACUCUCUCAGCUACCAAAAAGGUAUUAAAAAACUUUGACCAAAUACAUCUUACUAUAGCUUAUGUUCGUAAUAAACAUAUUAUUAUAUUUAAAAUCAGAAGCUUGCACACUAACCUGAUAAGUGUGUUUUCGCAUUAAAUUGUAGUAGGAAAAUGGAACCGGAGAUAGAGAUAAGAACAAUAGUACUGAUCUCUCCUGCACCACACGUUGAAAGCAUAGAAAAAAUGCCACCGAAAGACGGGUUUAUCUGGAAAAAAUAUGGAAAGAAAGAGAUACCUGACGUCAAAUACCCGAGGUACGUAUAAGGAAUUAUGUAAUUAAUCUUGCUUCUGGAAACAUGACAAACUACUACAUACCCACCGUUGUGAUAAUUUCACACGGUUAAUGAAACCCAUAGAUGUGAUAAGUUGCAUUUUACAAUUGUCAUUACAUACUAACCAAUGCGAUAACCAACAUUUCGCAUCAAAUAUCUCUACCAACCGAUGUGAAAUCUAUUUUUAUUUUUUAUUUUAUCCCAUAAACUUACAAAUUAACAGCCACAUAACAACAAUAGAAAUUUGUCAACAAUAGAAAUUAAAUACGGCUCCAAUAACAUAAAAAUUAAUAUGUCAGAAAAACUAAUAUCAUAGUUUAUACUACAUUAAUGAUAACAAGUACUCCGCUAGUUACUGUACUAAUGUAUGCUAUGGAAACAUCACAACAUCUAGUUAAAAAAUAGAAAAACUACAAAAACAUACCCAAAUCAUGGAAUCAAAUCCAUACCAUUAGCCAUAAUAAAAUCACACCAUCAAAUUCCUUGCACAAAAUCAUAUCAAGCAGACCAAGCCAGCAAACAGCUCGCAAACACUUUAUGGCGCGCCCAAAUGCCCAAUACAAUAAACUAAAAAUCUAAGAUUUAUCAGCUAGCAUUAAACUCAGAAAAACAAGUUGCCCAACGUAGACGAGCGUCAUAUAAAUCCUCGUUUGUGAAUGGUGUUUUUUAAUUGAAUAUCUACAAAUUAAAUUAUACAAUAUAUAAGUAAGUUAGAUCAUAACAAUAAACUAUCAUUCACUAACGUCAAAUGCACUUAGAUGAGAUGAUGCAAGUCUCUUUUAACAUAACCAAUGUCCUGGAUUCGACCCUUGGUUUGAGCAGACAACAACGUUAGGAGGUCGUCUCUACCAGUCCAAAGCACACGAAAUACCCUGAAGCAAGCCAACAAAGAUACAAUAGUACAAAUANNNNNNNNNNNNNNNNNNNNNNNNNNNNNNNNNNNNNNNNNNNNNNNNNNNNNNNNNAACUGCACUACUAUAGCAGAGUCAAAAACCUGAAGCUACGACCAACUGCACAACCUGAGGCAGCUAGCUCAUCUGUUUCGGUGCAGCAGCAGAAUGAUAAUGUUAGAUGGAAGGAACCAUGUUUGGCGAGGCUUAAUUGUAACAUCGAUUCCUUGUUUAACUCUCUUGGUAUUAAAUUUGGGCUCGGUAUGUAUAAUAGGGAUGAGCUUGGUAUACUUUUGUUUUGGCUAACUGAACGGUUUAGCCCUAUUUGUGAGGUUGCUUUUAAUUUGGCUAAUUGGCUCAUAAUUGGCUUCAUGAGUUACAAAUGGGACUGGUAGUCUUUGAGCUUAUUCGAAGAGGGUGGGGGAUAACUUCUGUUCUUCCAAAUAUGAUGUCACAGAGUUCGGAGCCAUUAUCAAACAAUGUAAAACUAUCUUUUCAAAUGUUUUUAUAAAGUCAAAUGUAGAGUUUAUGUGGAGACAAACAAAUGAGGUUGCAUCUGCAUCUAGCUUCCCAAAUUCAGAUUGUAUUGAGCACUUGUUGGCACCCAAACAUAACAAUUAUUUGCAGCACGACAUAUAAUAUUAAUACUUCCUUUUCUUAAUGAAUGCCAAAGUACGUGGUUAUUUUUUCUUACACAUGAUGAGUAAUGAUUCAUAUUUCCUAUAACCACAAUUGAAACAUUUCUUUUCUUUUAGGAGUUACUAUAGGUGCAGCCACAUGAAUUUAGAUGCCUGUCAAGCCAAGAAGAAAGUACAACAACUUGGUGACAAUCCAAACGUUUUUGAAGUAACAUACAAUGGUGCACAUUCCUGCCGUAUGUCCUUGACAAUACCAUCAUUAUUUUUACCAGCACGAAGGAUCUCAAAGGAUAUGACUCAAACCACCAUGCCGGCAUCAACUUCAUAUUCUGAGUGGCUUUCAUCGGGCACGCCAGGUGAGCAACAAACUUGUAUAACAUAGUAAUCUUAGACGUUUUUCUAAUUAGAAUGAGUAUAAGGAUGAAGGAUGGGUACACAUCAGUGACCUUGUAUAUAUAGGCAUAUAUUCCUCGACCAUAUAUGAAGAUACCCAACCUGCAGUCUAUUGCAACCAAUGAACAUAAAAAAAUUAAAAGGUGAACCUGAAAAAUAAUUCGAUUUCCCUAAACCUUGAACUUGUAUGAUGCAAAGGUAGUAACAAACUACAAAGCAUCAAUCAAAACUUUAUUUCAGUUUUGAUUUCAAAAUUAAUUCGUAGAGUAUAAUAAAGGAUAUAACUUAACGCUUAGCUCGUUUAGUGGAUGGGGUGACAGAGUUAAGAAAUUGAAUGACUAAGAGAUCGAGGAUUCAAAUUCCACUUUCAGCAUAAUACUAACACAGCGGAUACGUAUUACCCUACAAUGCCUUAGGAACUGUCCAACAAGUUCUUACCUUAGGAAUAGUUCAACCAGUUCUUAACAUAAAUGUUGCGAAACGAGUGUUUAAAUUGUUGUAAGAUGCAUUGGCUGACGCAAGGUUUUUGAAUGUUUCCUUGAACAUUAGUGCAGAACGGUUAACGGUAUAUUAAUGCAAAAUAAAGCCCAAAAAACUCAAUUUAUUAUAAUGAUAAUUGCAAUGUAAUCAAUAUAAGUUACUAAGUUUCCAUCAUGGCUCAUGACAAUCUAUGAUGCACGGGCACUUCUCAGAUUAGCUGUGCCCCGUGUCGGACAAGUGUAAGUGUCGGACACUGACAUUUAUGAUUAUACUUAAUUAUAUAAUUUUCUCCUAUAUUAUAUAUGUAAGAAUUCAAAGUCAUUUUCAAGUUCAGAUAACAUCUUAUCAGUGCGAUGAUAGAUUGAAACACACAUCAUAAAAAGAAAAGAGUGCAGCACCCAGAAGGAGCCAUCAUAGAUCAAACAACAAAUUUAUAUUUUAUUUUUUUAGGCUCUAAAGUUGACAUGCAGGAGGCAUCCAACCGAAUGUUGAUUUUAAGUCUCACUUAAACUUGAGUCUGAAUAUUGUGACACUAAUUGAAUUCUACAGCCAAAUACAUAAAUUCUAUCCCAACAGCCAACCUAGCUGCUCCAGAAGACGGUGGGCAUCAUCCUAUGAUGGACAAUGUCGGGGACUAUCUUGUUUCUGCUAUCAGAUCACAGCAGAUUGUUUCUGCUAUCAGAUCACAACAGAUCUAUGCUGUUAAUGGAGAAGAAGAAUUUUCACCACAAGCAGAGGGGACAAUUGAACUGUUAGAGAGCAUAUUGGCAUCGAAGUCCGAAAAAUAUGUGGAUGUGUCUUUGCGUCAUUUCUUCAUGAUGAAUAAUUGGAGGUAUUUAGAAGUGACAAAUAAUAGAUUGGAACUAGAUGCAAUGUUCGGGGAUGUUUGGUUGCAAAGAAACAGAGAAAAAGUCCAACAAAACCUUGAACUCUAUACGAGAGACUCAUGGGAUAAGGUGUUGGAAUGUUUAAAGUUGGAUAUAAAUGACUCCACGGAAAUUAAUUUUGCAACAGAUUUGAUGAAAGAAAAACUCAAUUUGUUUAACAUGAAAUUUACAGAAACAUGUAGUGUUCAGUGCAGAUGGUCUGUUCAUGAUGAGAAGCUAAGGGAAGAAAUAAUUGAAUCUCUCAAAAAUACCUUGUUGCCAGCAUAUGGAACCUUCAUUGGGAAGUUUCAGGAUUUUCUUAAAAACAAAGCUUACAAGUAUAUUGAGUAUGGAAUGUUUGAUAUUCAAGAUGUACUUGAUAGUUUGUUUCUUGGAAACAAGAAAGACGUAUGAAUCAUUUGGUUCGGUUUCUAUUUUAUUUUGUCUUUUUUUUCUUAAUCUUUCGAUGAAGUUGUUUUGGUUUUGUAAUGUUAUUUGGCAUUGAUGUACUUUGUGAGAGUGUUUCUUAGAUUUUAUAGAAACAUCUUAUAAUAUGUAUAUAAGUUAUUUUCAAUUUAUUUCCAUUUGCGACAGCAUCAACGAAAUUCAGCAAAUGAACGAUGAACUCCAACAUUCUCAUUGUGGUAGAUUUCUUCCAUUAUAAUCACAAUGAUGCAAAUUUCAUCCAAGUACAAGACUUUCAGCUAAGAAAAUUUCAUCUAAUUUUGUUUGAUCAAUUCUCAAUAGUAUCUAUUUUGUUUUCAAUAAUGUACCCUCCCAUAAUUAAUAUCAAUCAUCAGUCCUAUUAGUGCACAUUUUAUUUGGAUAUGUACCAACAUACUUCUGAAGUGAAUAAUUCUGAUAGGACCAAAAAUUAAUAAAUAUUCUUUAUGAAAAUUAUCUACCUUAAUAGUAUACCUAAGAUUAAAAAAGAUGAAAAUUAAAUUGAGUUCUUUGCGUUAAUUACAAUAUAAAUUAAAAAAAGAUGAAAGGUACUUAGUUCACAAGAGAAAGAAGAUGAAGUCAAAGUUAAUUAGUAUAAAAAGAUAAGGUGGACCACCAUUGACUAAACUAUUGACUAGAUAUGACAUUUCCCUUGGUUUGGAACUUUCCUCAUAAUUGAUUGGAAAAAUCAUAAAAAAACAGACAAGUCAAAAUGGAAAAAUAAUUGGAACUUUCCUGGCAAUGAUCAACAGCUUUGGUCCCUAAUUGCUUCAAAUUUCAGCUGAGAUAGAGAUAGCUUCUCAAACCCGAAAUCAAAAAAGAUUGGUUUCAUUCUCAUUUCAUAUGUGAAAUCAAUUCUUACACACUUUAGACAACAUGACACAUAUUUUAAUCCAAAUUUGGAGAUGGUUGAUGCAGCCAAAGGUGUGGAGAUUUAUAGGCUUUGCUUCAGCUGUUGUUGGACUGGUCUGUUAUGCUUUAAGCUCUUCCUUCAACUAUCUCUUUGGCGAUUGGAAUUUUCUGAAACUAUUUCUUUAUAUUAUUUUCAGUUUCAUUAUAUGCUUUGUGAUUUUAUUUGCAAAAUUAUUGCAACAUUCGAGUAGUCUUCGGUUCAAAGCUCAUACCGCAUUUUUGGUAUUGACAAUAACCUCUGUUUAUUCCUUUUUCUUCGAUAAAGUGAUGAAUGGGAAACCAGAUGCAUAUAGUUUAAUUUCAUGUGCUGCUUUUGCUAUCAUGUCAUUGAGUUUGUCGAGGCAAACUCAAUG
Molecule: long non-coding RNA, 7049 nt
Filed under: Trifolium pratense (red clover)
Lineage: Eukaryota; Viridiplantae; Streptophyta; Magnoliopsida; Fabales; Fabaceae
Description: long non-coding RNA (TPRA_LNC004194)
Source: RNAcentral